Molecule: ribosomal RNA, 1216 nt
Filed under: uncultured bacterium
Lineage: Bacteria
Description: bacterial SSU rRNA
Rfam family: Bacterial small subunit ribosomal RNA
Source: RNAcentral
GGGUGAGGAACACGUUGGAACCUACCUAGAAGUGGAGCAUAAUCUUCCGAAAGGAAGACUAAUUCUCCAUAGUCCCGAAAGGGUAAAGAUUUAUCGCUUCUAGAGGGUCCUGCGACCUAUCAGCUAGUUGGCGGGGUAAAAGCCCACCAAGGCUAUGACGGGUAGCUGAAUUGAGAGAUCGACCAGCCACAAGGGAACUGAGACACGGUCCCUACUCCUACGGGAGGCAGCAGUGAGGAAUCUUCGGCAAUGGGCGAAAGCCUGACCGAGCAACACCGCGUGAAGGAUGAAGGCCUUUGGGUUGUAAACUUCUUUUCUGGGGGAAGAAUUCUGACGGUACCCUAGGAAUAAGCACCGGCUAACUCCGUGCCAGCAGCCGCGGUAAGACGGAGGGUGCAAGCGUUAUCCGGAAUCACUGGGCGUAAAGCGUAUGUAGGCGGUUUGGUAAGUCGGGGGUUAAAUUUUCAUGCUCAACGUGAAAACUGUUUCCGAAACUGCCAAGCUACGAAGAGUGCAGAGGCAAGCGGAAUUCUGAGUGUAGGGGUAAAAUCCGUAGAUACUCGGAGGAACGCCAAAAGCGAAAGCAGCUUGCUGGGCAUUUCUUGACGCUGAGAUACGAAAGCGUGGGGAGCAAACAGGAUUAGAUACCCUGGUAGUCCACGCCGUAAACUAUGAGAACUCGAUGUAGGAGGUAUCGACCCCUUCUGUGUCUAAGCUAACGCGUUAAGUUCUCCGCCUGUGUAGUACGACCGCAAGGUUAAAACAUAAAGGAAUAGACGGGGACCCACACAAGCGGUGGAGCAUGUUGUUUAAUUCGACGCUAAGCGAGGAACCUCACCCUGGUUUGACAUCUUGGGAAUCCCUGUGAAAGCAGGGAGUGCCGCAAGGAACCCAAAGACAGGUGUUGCAUGGUUGUCGUCAGCUCGUGCCUUGAGGUGUUUGGUUAAGUCCAUAAACGAGCGCAACCCUCGUCCUGUGUUGUAUUUUUCGCAGGAGACUGCCGGCGCAAAGUCGGAGGAAGGUGGGGAUGACGUCAAAUCAGCAUGACCCUUAUACCAGGGGCGACAAACGUGCUACAAUGGUUGAUACAGAGGGCAGCCAACUCGCAAGAGGGAGCCAAUCCCAAAAAUCAGCCUAAGUUCGGAUUGAGGUCUGCAACUCGACCUCAUGAAGUUGGAAUCGCUAGUAAACGCAAAUCAGCCACGUUGCGUUGAAU